GCUAGAGUGGCCGAGUGGUCUAAGGCGUCAGACUUAAGAUCUGAUGGUUACAACCUCGUGGGUUCGAAAUUUCCCACCUCUAGCA
This 85-nucleotide transfer RNA is filed under the name Guillardia theta. Its description in RNAcentral is "transfer RNA-Leu (UAA)". It matches the Rfam family "tRNA". Rfam says of the family: Transfer RNA (tRNA) molecules are approximately 80 nucleotides in length. Their secondary structure includes four short double-helical elements and three loops (D, anti-codon, and T loops). Lineage: Eukaryota; Cryptophyceae; Pyrenomonadales; Geminigeraceae. The record is from RNAcentral.